RNAcentral lists this ribosomal RNA (459 nucleotides) under uncultured bacterium. Its description in RNAcentral is "partial 16S ribosomal RNA". It matches the Rfam family "Bacterial small subunit ribosomal RNA", at positions 338 to 795 of the family's 1533-position model. The record is from RNAcentral.
CCUACGGGAUGCAGCAGUGAGGAAUAUUGGUCAAUGGCCGAGAGGCUGAACCAGCCAAGUCGCGUGAGGGAAGACGGCCCUACGGGUUGUAAACCUCUUUUGUCGGGUAGCAACGCGCGUCACGUGUUACUCAUUUAGAGUACCCGACGAAAAAGCAUCGGCUAACUCCGUGCCAGCAACCGCGGUAAUACGUAGGAUGCGAGCGUUGUCCUGAUUGCUAGGGUUAAAAGGGUGCGCAGGCGGAGGUGCAAGUCAGCGGUCCAAUUGCGGGGCUCAACCCCGUACUGCCGUUGAAACUGCAUCCCUUGAGGGCGCGAGAAGUAUGCGGAAUGCGUGGUGUAGCGGUGAAAUGCAUAGAUAUCACGCAGAACUCCGAUUGCGAAGGCAGCAUACCGGCGCGCAACUGACGCUCAUGCACGAAAGCGUGGGUAUCGAACAGGAUUAGAUACCCUUGUAGUC